RNAcentral lists this ribosomal RNA (753 nucleotides) under Triticum aestivum (bread wheat). RNAcentral describes it as "partial small subunit ribosomal RNA". Lineage: Eukaryota; Viridiplantae; Streptophyta; Magnoliopsida; Poales; Poaceae. The record is from RNAcentral.
AUGCACCAUAUGUAUCCCAACUCUCAUGCAUCAGCAACCCCACAAAUCGUUAUACCAAUGAACAACAUGGUGAGUUUGGUUAAUAAAUUUGAAACACCUCAUGUUAGGAUUUCCAAUGCCAUGCAAGAAAGUGUUUCACCCUUUUAUUCAUCGGUAAGUAAUGUGCAAUAUACUAAUCCAACCAUGCCGAUGAACGAGAGAAUUGGCCAUGCUACUACUAGCUAUUCGACCAGUUAUUCCCAACCGUCAUAUGCUACACCUCAUGACAAUAAUUUUUCAGCACCAUACACAACUGUAGAUGUUCAUAAUUCGGCUUCCGACCUUCCUGGUCAUAGGCGAGUGAAUGUAAAUUUUACAGGAGCGGUUGCGCCCAAUAUUGUAGAAGAUGAGGUAGUGGUGGUUGCAUUGAAGAGUUUAGCCCAAAAUAAGAGGAUUAGUGCUCUUUGCCUUGAACAACAUGAAAAGUGGCUAUUUUCUUAUUAUGCCCCAAUAAAAGCUAGAGUUUUGCAAGAAGAUGAAUCUUUGCCAAUUGAUAAAAUUGGCGGGCAAAAAUAUGGUUUUACAACAAUGCAUAUGCCUUCACCUAGUACUACAUCAUAUUAUACACCCCUACACUAUUGCAAAAUUUUGGCAACACCCGUGUGUCAUUGCCAAAAGAAUCUAAAAGCAUUGGGGGGCAAUCAUAUCCGGAGUGGGCUGAAAUUGAGAAAAAGCUUAAAGCCAACUUUGCCGCUCGCCGCCAGAAACAAAUAG